RNAcentral lists this long non-coding RNA (5647 nucleotides) under Prunus persica (peach). Its description in RNAcentral is "long non-coding RNA (PPER_LNC003627)". The record is from RNAcentral. Lineage: Eukaryota; Viridiplantae; Streptophyta; Magnoliopsida; Rosales; Rosaceae.
AAAUUUCUGAGUUUUUGAGGGUAAAUAAGCGAUUGAAAAUAUGCCAGUUUUCGGCCUCCUAUUCUGGCCACUUCCGUCGACUUUUUGGGGUAGGUCCAAGAACAAAAGUAGCUCCACUCUAUGUGGUGAUCAUGUAGGUAUAAGUCUUAAUGGGCGGUUUGGAGAUUUUUUGAUCGUCGAAAUCGAUUGGCCACCCACGUGCUGCCAGCUCGUGUGGCGGCCCGUGGGCCACUUUCGGCCUGUCCUUGAGUCCUAAAAUCACUCUCAUGUUGUGCUAAGCAUGAUGGUAUACUCAUAUAUGAAUUUGGAUAUCGUUUGAUUGUCGAUCGAAUUCGAAUCUAUCAAACCCGGAUAUCGCAUAUUAGGCGAUAUCCGGGUUUGAUAGAUUCGGACCAUUGGAUCAUUUUGAUUUUCAAAUAUGUUGAUCUAGGCACUUCUAGAAUCGUAUAGAGAUUAGCGGAUCAAGAAUCGGAGUCCCGGAUACCCCGAAAUCACGAAUCCUAGGGCAAGAUAAAUUGUAGUCUGAUCGUGCGAUCAUGAUCAAUCCGACCGUUCGAUUUGAACCAAACUUGCAGGGUAGUUUCAGAAGAGUGCGUUGAACCUAUAGGGACUCCCGGAAUUGUGAUCGGAGGUCGUGGGCCCUGCGAGCCCGGUUAACCAAGUUUAGGUGGUUUGACCCCUCAGUUGACCGUGAGUCUUCCGAGGUAGUUGUAUCCUUUGAGAAGUGUUUAAAUGACCACGUAAAUGAGUCCUGACCGAGAAUGAGUUAUUUGGGUCAUAUUACAGAUUGAGUAUAGAUAGUUACUUAUAAAUUGCUAAUGUGCCGAGUAGCUGAAAAUGAUGAAUCAUGGCCCUUGGUUUUUAUCAGAUUGUGGCAUAUAUAUAUUUUAAGUAUAGUUGAGAAUCAAUUUAUCAAAAAGUUGAUAUAAAGGUUGGAAAAUGGAUUGUGAAAUAAAGGGAAAGUAUUGAUAUAAGUUUGGGAUAUGGCUUUUCAAACCCACCACAAGGGUACCCCUUAGUUGCUUUGAAUCAAUGUCAUUUAUAAAUAAUGCCCCAUGUGUUUCGAGGAUGCCUGAACCGUGUGGUGCGAGGAAUGUGGCUCAAGCUGACCAAUGGUCCCUUGAGGCCUGCGAGGAUUGCGGUUCGGAUAGAUUUCGUAUCUCCGAGGCCUGCGAGGAUUGCUGCUCGGAUAGAUUUGGUAUCUCCAAGGCCUACGAGAAUUGAGGCUCCGAUAGGCUUGGUAUCUCCGAGGCCUGCAAGAAUUGCAGCUCAGAUAGACUUAGUAUCUCUGAGGCCUGCGAGGAUUGCGAUUCAUACAGAUUUGGUAUCUCUGAGGCCUACGAGGAUUGCAGCUUGGAUAGACUUGGUAUCUCUGAGGCCUGUGAGGAUUGCGGCUUGAGUAGACUUGGUGUCUCCGACGCCUGCACGGAUGGAAUUGACGGAUCAGGAAUGGGGAUACGCCUAGGUGAAGAGAAUUUCAGUUUUGAGAUGUUCUUAAACUAAAAUAAAGGGAGUUCAGUGUAUGGCUUAUCUAUAGUCAGUAUAUGACUGUUAUGGGUAUUGGGAAGUUGCAAAGUAUUGUUUUAGAGUUGUGAAUAUGAUUGAGUACAUCACACACAUGAGAAUUCAGUUUGAUUUUGAAAACACAUGGCAAUAUGAUGAGAUAUUCAAUUGCACUAUUAAAGGGAAAAAACUACGUGUAGCUUGACCCCUCAGUAAGGGUACGUAGACAGCCUAAUGUUAUAAGGUUAAUGUUAUAAGGUGCAUUCACGAGUUGGAGUGUUUGAGAUUGUUAAUGUACUAUUGAUGUUCUGAAAGUUGAGAUAAAUUUUAUUAGCAGGAUAAUUUAUUUUAUUUAUUGAGGCCUGAGGCCAGAGUGAUAUGAUGCUUGAUUUUCUUGGAUAUAAUUUAAUGCAUGCUAGCAGUUGGGUUAUAUAUAAACAUAUAUGCUUAUUUUACAGGUGGAAAUUUUUGCAAAAUAUUCAAUUUACAGGGGAGACUUUGUUGAAUUUUCGGCAAAAGUCACACUUGAAUUUCAUUGAAUUUUGGUUAGAAGGGCAAUUUGGUCAAUUGUGUCCAGCAACCGCCAGGUGUCAGACACGCAUAGGGUUUGACUCAGAUUUCAAAGUGGAAUUUGGGUCGGGUCCUGUCAGUCUGUACCUGCAAGUUGCAAACAAAUACACACAAGUGCAUCUGGUUAAAAAUAAUAUGUGGCACAAGGGCUCAUUGCCUAUAUAAUCACAGAUUCUAUUCUGUAGGCCAUGUUUGGUAUGCUUCACUAUGCCUCACUGGACUGGAUUGGAUUAAACAAUACUUGAAACCCAUGUUUGGUAAGGGAGGGGAUUAUCUUAAAUGAGAUUAUAUAGUCCAAUAGUUAAAAAAAGCCCGGACUCACACAGCUAAUAUAGUGAGCCCAAAAUUGGGUUCGCAAAAUAGGACGCUCGCUAUUUUGAACACGCGAGUCCGACUUCCUUAUCGCUUGAAUCAAAACCCCACCACAGAUCCAAUCAAUGAAACCCAACGCUCAUCGCUCUACCCUGGAUUUCUUCUCAGAACGAUCUCUCUUUGCACCCCAACAACUAGCAGAACCCAAAACCAUCUCUUUUCGCCAUCUGAGUCCAAUUCGUAGUAGUUCCAAAGAAAAAAAGAAAAGCAAAAAAUAAUGAAACCAGAAACAGAGAGAAGAAAGAAGGAAAAAGGAAGAAAAGAAAAGAAGAAAAAAAUAUGGGUCUGUGUAAUUAUGAUACUGCUCCUAUUUGGGUAGCUUCCUUACUUACUGAUGAUGUUUUGGGGAUGUCUAGAAUCCGCUUGAUUUGUGUUGAGUCGGCUUAGAUCGUUUUCAUUCGAACGCACCAUCCAUUGAGCGCAGACAAUGAAGACGGCAAUGCUGGAAAAAAUGGAGCCAUCUUGCUGUUGUUGCCAAAUUGCUCAUCUUGGAUUACAGGUUUUCAUGCGCUGCUUGGUGGAGACCACAAAAAAAUGAGGACGGGCUGGGAAGAGAACAGGAGAACAGGAAGAAAGGAAAGGGAAAAAAAAAAAAAGAAAAAGGACGGGCUGGGAAGGAAAGGUAGAAGAAAAGGAGAAAAAAGGAAAAAAUGAAGAAAGGAUAAGAUAGUUUGGCUUUUAAAAAAUAUUAAAAUUUAUUUGUUUUAUUAUUAUUUAUUUUAAGGUCAUCCUUAAUUAAAAGUAAAUAUUAGAAUUUUAUUUAUUUAUAAUUAAAAUUAAUUAUUAAAAUAAUUAUUUUUUACUCCGACACAACUCCAAACAUAGGUCUUCACUAUUUUCACAAUCCAGCUUCUUAGUCCGACGCAGCACCAAACAUAGGUCAGUACUUAAUCCAGCUUAGUCCAGUCCGAGCUAAUCCAAAACAGUCCCAGGAUUUAGUCCAGUCCAUGACAGUCCGCCGUACCAAACGACCCCUAUAAGAAAUAAAAGGACACAAUUAUAUAGUUUAGCUUUCUUUGAAAAACUUGGAAAUAACUUUACCUUGGCCAUUGUUAUAGGUUCUAGGUUUGCUAGUUUUGACUUUCCUUAACAAAUUUUAUGACCAACUUGAGAGUGGGGGUAAGGUGGAACCAGCGGCGGAUCCAGGAAUUUUUCAACGGAGGUGCAAUAUUUAAAAGCUAAGAGCUCAACGCAGCGCAGCGACAGAUUCUCAGCCCAAGUCGUUUGGGCAUUUCGUCGAACAGGUGGUGUGCAUCUCGUUUCUGAAGCAGAGGUGCAAUUCCAGCUCUUGUAAUGGAUUUCUCUGGCGACCGGAGGUGCAGGUGCACCUCCUUGAGCCUGCACAGGUCCGCCACUGGGUGGAACCUCAUACAUCAGUCAAUAGAGCAAGGCAAGUCACUUUGAGUUUCACGGGACAAUAUGAGAUUUGACCAUAAUUUUAGGAGGCGUUAGAGCAAUUAAGCCUUUCUCUAAAUCCCUUCGAAGCUCAAAUUUAAAGUCUAGGUUUAGACAUUCAUCUCAAGGUUGGCCAAGCUGGAUCUCAUGAUCUCCGAAGGUAAAGCAUGCAUAUGUGCGUUGCAUUCAUUUUCAAUCCUACCAGUUUUCACUCUUAGUUGACUAGUUCAUGCAUUGUACUAUAUUCUGCCUAAAAAUUUGUAGUUUUUAUACUCAGAUGACUAGUGGCAUUCUCACUAGUCAACUACACUAUUUUUAUUUGUACAUGUUUUGAAGUUUCAAUUUUUACACUCACAUGAGCUUGUCUCCUUUUCUAGUUGUGGUCGUUACGUAACAUUUUGUCAAAUUCUAAUAUGAAAACCGUUGGGGCUGAUCUGGAUUCACUAACUCUCUUUAUUUGCAUCUUUUUCAUCAGGGUUUUAGAGAGAGAGAGAGAGAGAGAGAGAGAGAGUUCUAGAUAAAAUGUAUUUUCAUUGAAAAUUUGUUUUACAAAUUUAUGUGGAUUCAAAUCUAUGUUUUAGAUUGCAUAUCAUCCAUAGGAUUAGAUUUGUAAUCGGUGUCUUCAAGAUGGUUUGAUUUUAUUUGUUUCUCAAAUCUAUGUUUGCUAUAGUUCAUUUGGAUUUUUUUGGAAGUGUUGUUGAGAAGCUAGUGCCAUAAAAAUGAUGAGUUAGAUGAUGGUGAGCUGCCAUGAUUAUGAAGAUUAGUAGUUGCCGUGAUACUAUGAUUCAAAUGAAGAUUGCACAAGGUGUUGGUGGUGCCAUAGAGGUGAAGAGCUCAAGGUUGAGCUAGCUGCCAUCCACAAGAAGACUUUAUGGGUUCCUUGAAGAUGAAGAGCUAGAGAAUCUAGUUGUCAUCCACAAUAAGACCCGAUGGGGCCUUGGAGAUGACGAGCUCAAGGUUGAGCUAGCUGCCAUCUACAAGAAGACUUCAUGGGUGCCUUGAAGAUGAAGAGCUAGAGGAGCUAGUUGUCAUCUACAAUAAGACUCGAUGGAGCCUUGGAGAUGAAGAGCCCAAGGGUGAGGAGCUGCCAUUUUCAUGAAGACUGGUAUUAUGGUUCAAAGGUAUAGCUCCUUCCUAAUAUGGGUACAUGAAAUCUGAGCUUGAUUGGAUCUUCUUUGUAAGAAUCUUUUUUACACACUAUGGAUUGUCUGGUGAGACUGAUGACCCCGAGUGUUUACCCAGUGGCAAGCUUUUAGGUUAUCAUGGUUUGGUGUUGAUUCUUGCUGGGUGUCUAUUCUGGAUCUGUGAUUUGAUAAGUAGCCUUCAUAUAUUUUAUCAUCGAGAGUUACAUUUACAUUGAGAGAAAAUUCUAAGCUAAAGGAGAAAAAAAACAGAGAGUUUGAGAGGAGACCAGGCAACCCCUUGCCGAAGUGUUAAAAAGCUAUUGGAAUUGCAAAAAAGUAAGGUCAAACACUUCAAAGUAUUGAUGAGCAAAUUAUAUAUAUGGCGUUGGCGGGUGAAAUUGGAUUAAUGAAUUAAGAUGUUAAGGGUUUGUUUAGAAGUAAUUCUGGAUAGGCCAAUAAUCACUUCUAUGGAGAAUUAUUUUUCCAUUACUUUAAACGGUUUUAAGUAAAUUUAUGGAAAAUCACAUGGGAAGUGUUUUUUUCCAGAAUCACUUCAAAUCACUAAAAGUGAUUAUAUAUGAAGAAGAUGAGAUGUGCUUCUCCCCAAAAAUGAUUUUUGCCUAUCUAAAAUCACUCUCAAACAAGAUCACAUAUGGAACAAUAAUUUUCUAGUCAUGUUCCAC